Long non-coding RNA from Sus scrofa (pig), 2044 nucleotides. RefSeq lists it as uncharacterized. The record is from RefSeq and is a predicted model, not a curated record. Lineage: Eukaryota; Metazoa; Chordata; Mammalia; Artiodactyla; Suidae.
UGCGUGAAAAAAUUCAGGUGACACAUAAUAAGAAGAUUCUGGUCAUCAACCAAAAAGACCCUUUGCCUGUGUCAAGAAUGGUUUGUGGGUCUGUCCCUGUCUUCAGGCCCUACCAUUUGCCUACAGAUUUCUCCCCCGAUUUGGGGGGCCCGGGAAGCCUGACUCGGCUGUGUGCUGAAGCUUGAUCCAAAAGCUUCCACAGUGUGGACCUGCCAUGUGGGGUGAGUGUGGCCGCCUGCACUCACUUGCCCCAGCGGGAAAUUCGCCUUCUGCUCAUGAUUUAAAAGUCUCCCAUUUUGCUGCUCUCCUCUCUGCGGUCUCCGUGCUUCUCCCAUCACACUACAGCCAGAAGUUGAGUUACAGGAAGAUUCGCCAGAGAUUUAUCGCCUGGCCCCAAACUUGGAGAGCCUCAUUGUCAUAAACAGCCGUCUAUUGUCUAGACUUUUAUCUCCGGGUAUGGAUCGUGCAUUACUGAGGCUCAGGAGACCCAGGCCUGGCUCUGUGGGGUGUGUGCCUGGCUCUGUGUGGUGUGUGCGAAGCUCAGUGCUUGCUCCCCCCACCUCCACCAGCCCCCAGGGGUUUCUGUAGGUAGGUUUAGGAGGGGACACAAAAGUGUGUGUGCUCUUGGAGCUGGGCAGGUACACCUGAGUGUCCAAGGAUGGGGGCUGGAAAUGGGGACGCGUCUUCUAUGCCUGGGAACAUUCUGGUGCAUGUACUUAUGUGUUGGGUGAGAAUUUGUCACGGUAUGCUUUGUUUCUGGGGCAUUUUAAGUGUUCCUGUCUGGGGCUUUUGCGGGUUUUAUUAACCUGCAUCCGCUUGGCUUGUUUAUGUUCCUUCGAAGUGGAUCAUCUGGUGUUUUUCAAUAUUGGGCCCAUUGUGUGUGUGUGUGUGUGUGUGUGUGUGUGUGUGUGCGCGCGUGCAUGCGUGCGCUCGCCCACGUGCAUGUCUUUGGCUUUUCUGAGAAAAUGGGUUUGGAUGAUACCUUUCCAGUGUCCUCAGAUUCCUUCACCCUCCCUAAAUCACACCUCAGCUUCUGCCUUCAGGACAGCAGCCUCUGGCCCUGCUCCACUCGCUGCAAGUCCCUAAAUCUCCCACGUGGCUACCAAUUUUCUGUCACAGACACAAAAACACAUUUUUUCAGGAUGAGGUCUGGCUAUCUCUGUCUCUCCCACACCAGGGGGAAAUGUCCCCGCUUGUAAACUCCCUCCAUUCCUGGGACUCCCCCUCCCAGAGCCAAGGGGGACCUCAGAAAGGGCUUCCCCAGUCCAUUCUGACCUUUAAAAAUAUUUUCCUCAGAACUCUAGAUAAUGCCAGAGAGGGCCUGCCACUCUCUCCCUGGGGCUUGGUGACAGCAAACAUCCUCAUCCUGGCCACAGUCUCAGCCCCUUGAGCCCAGGCAGUAGGACACUGGCCCAGCUUAAAUGUCCCUGGGAGAGACACUUAGCACCUUAGAUCUCGGGGUCAGAGGCUGUUUUGGAAAGCCAGGAUCCUUUAACACCAGCAGAAAUAAUCAAAUCCUCCCCCUUUGUUUUUCAUUAUCACAACACCGUGUGGGAGGGCUGCAGGCUGGAGGUCUGAGAGCUCCCUGACCACCCUCACUGCUCCUGGCGGCUGCUCCCACCUGGGCCCCAGGCCCCGCUUCAGAGCCCUGAGGCUUCCUCAGCCAGGCCCCAAAGACUCCAGUGUUUACAAGACCAGAAAUGCCACGGCCACGUCCCGGCAGAAAGAAAGGCUGAAAUGGAGGACCGACGCCUUCCUUAUAAGCUCACUGGGGCCUGAGCCAGUACCAACCUGGUAGAAAAAGCAACCAUGAAGCCAGAGAGAGAGCCAGAAGAGGGAGGAGAGCGAGCGCACCAGACCGAGAUGAAAAGGAACCACGCAGAGAAAUGCAAGGAAAAGAGGCGGCAGGUUCCUGAACGAAUGUGGCAAAGGGCAAGACAGGCACUUAUGGACAGAGGUCUAUGUAAUUGUAUUUACAAUUUUUUUUUUCUUUUUAGGGCUACACUCGCGGCAUAUGGAAGCUCCCAGGCUAUGCCGCAGCCAC